UUGUCCUCUCUCCAGCUCGACUCAACUCCCUGCCUUUCCCCGCGGCCGGGAGCAGGCUGGAGCAGCCGUAACRCGAGGCUGCCGGCUCUGCGCAGUGUCUGCGGAGCGAGCUGGACAGAAGGUGGCAAGCGGCUGUAGUCCAACCGCUCGUCCGAGUGAAGAGCAAUUCCUGCCGAGAGUCUGGGCUUCAAGAUCAGUCUCCUUCAGCUUACGGUCACUUCGUGGAGGUAUGUUUAAUGACAAGCACCCCGCGGUCCCCGGCGGAGCGGGGAGCCCUGCUGCUUCCCUCCGUCCGUCCUGCCACCCAGCCCUUCUGCGUACCCAAAGGAAGCGUCACGGCGGUGCCUGCCGCCGAACAACCCCRGGUAAAGAGUUUGUAAUUGGAAUCAAAUCCAUCGCCUGCGGAUCAGUGCCUGCUGCUUAGCAUUCAUUAAAAAUACCCAUUGCCCCCAUGACCUCAUCAGACCCGAUUCGAGGGGAAUGGCUCCACGGCGCUGUGCCUGGGUGUUUCUGGCCAUGAAG
RNAcentral lists this long non-coding RNA (522 nucleotides) under Dromaius novaehollandiae (emu). RNAcentral describes it as "lncRNA (ENSDNVG00000000284.1)". The record is from RNAcentral. Lineage: Eukaryota; Metazoa; Chordata; Aves; Casuariiformes; Dromaiidae.